UAGGGAAUCUUCGGCAAUGGGGGGAACCCUGACCGAGCAACGCCGCGUGAGUGAAGAAGGUUUUCGGAUCGUAAAGCUCUGUUGUUAAGGAAGAACGAGUGUGAGAAUGGAAAGUUCAUACUGUGACGGUACUUAACCAGAAAGGGACUGCUAACUACGUGCCAGCAGCCGCGGUAAUACGUAGGUCCCGAGCGUUGUCCGGAUUUAUUGGGCGUAAAGCGAGCGCAGGCGGUUAGAUAAGUCUGAAGUUAAAGGCAGUGGCUCAACCAUUGUAGGCUUUGGAAACUGUUUAACUUGAGUGCAGAAGGGGAGAGUGGAAUUCCAUGUGUAGCGGUGAAAUGCGUAGAUAUAUGGAGGAACACCGGUGGCGAAAGCGGCUCUCUGGUCUGUAACUGACGCUGAGGCUCGAAAGCGUGGGGAGCGAACAGG
RNAcentral lists this ribosomal RNA (429 nucleotides) under Bacteroidota bacterium. RNAcentral's name for it is "Bacteroidetes bacterium partial 16S ribosomal RNA". It matches the Rfam family "Bacterial small subunit ribosomal RNA", at positions 355 to 776 of the family's 1533-position model. Lineage: Bacteria; Pseudomonadati; Bacteroidota. The record is from RNAcentral.